Molecule: ribosomal RNA, 389 nt
Filed under: Crocidura hirta (lesser red musk shrew)
Lineage: Eukaryota; Metazoa; Chordata; Mammalia; Eulipotyphla; Soricidae
Description: partial 16S ribosomal RNA
Rfam family: Bacterial large subunit ribosomal RNA
Source: RNAcentral
CGGCCGCGGUAUCCUGACCGUGCAAAGGUAGCAUAAUCAUUUGUUCCUUAAUUAGGGACUUGUAUGAAUGGCCCCACGAGGGUUUAACUGUCUCUUACUUUUAAUCAGUGAAAUUGACCUUCCCGUGAAGAGGCGGGAAUACAAAAAUAAGACGAGAAGACCCUAUGGAGCUUAAAUUAAUUCAUGAAUAAUAAAUUUUGGUUGGGGUGACCUCGGAGAAUAACUAAACCUCCGAGCAAUUACCAAGACUCACCAGUCAAGGCCAAUCCUAUUGAUCAACGAAACAAGUUACCCUAGGGAUAACAGCGCAAUCCUAUUUAAGAGUUCAUAUCGACAAUAGGGUUUACGACCUCGAUGUUGGAUCAGGACACCCAAAUGGUGCAGCAGCU